CAGUAGCCGCGGUAAUACGUAGGGUGCGAGCGUUAAUCGGAAUUACUGGGCGUAAAGCGUGCGCAGGCGGUUGUGUAAGACAGGUGUGAAAUCCCCGGGCUUAACCUGGGAACUGCGCUUGUGACUGCACAGCUAGAGUAUGACAGAGGGGGGUAGAAUUCCACGUGUAGCAGUGAAAUGCGUAGAGAUGUGGAGGAAUACCGAUGGCGAAGGCAGCCCCCUGGGCCAAUACUGACGCUCAUGCACGAAAGCGUGGGGAGCAAACAGGAUUAGAUACCCCAGUAGUCCCUGUCUCUUAUAA
Molecule: ribosomal RNA, 301 nt
Filed under: uncultured bacterium
Lineage: Bacteria
Description: partial 16S ribosomal RNA
Rfam family: Bacterial small subunit ribosomal RNA
Source: RNAcentral